UACGAAGGGUGCUAGCGUUGUUCGGAAUCACUGGGCGUAAAGCGCGCGUAGGCGGCUUUUCAAGUCAGGGGUGAAAUCCCACAGCUUAACUGUGGAACUGCCUUUGAAACUGUAAAGCUAGAGUGUCGGAGGGGAUGGCGGAAUUGCUAAUGUAGAGGUGAAAUUCGUAGAUAUUAGCAGGAACACCGGUGGCGAAGGCGGCCAUCUGGACGACAACUGACGCUGAGGCGCGAAAGCGUGGGGAUCAAACAGG
Molecule: ribosomal RNA, 253 nt
Filed under: uncultured bacterium
Lineage: Bacteria
Description: partial 16S ribosomal RNA
Rfam family: Bacterial small subunit ribosomal RNA
Source: RNAcentral